UACGAAGGGUGCAAGCGUUAGUCGGAAUUACUGGGCGUAAAGCGUGCGUAGGUGGUUUCUUAAGUCCGUUGUGAAAGCCCUGGGCUCAACCUGGGAACUGCAGUGGAUACUGGGAGGCUAGAGUGUGUCAGAGGAUGGUGGAAUUCCCGGUGUAGCGGUGGAAUGCGCAGAUAUCGGGAGGAACACCCGUAGCGAAGGCAGUUCUCUGGGCCAAUACUGACGCUGAGGAGCGAAAGCGUGGGGAGCAAACAGG
RNAcentral lists this ribosomal RNA (253 nucleotides) under uncultured bacterium. Its description in RNAcentral is "partial 16S ribosomal RNA". It matches the Rfam family "Bacterial small subunit ribosomal RNA", at positions 524 to 776 of the family's 1533-position model. The record is from RNAcentral.